This 255-nucleotide ribosomal RNA is filed under the name uncultured bacterium. RNAcentral's name for it is "partial 16S ribosomal RNA". It matches the Rfam family "Bacterial small subunit ribosomal RNA", at positions 524 to 776 of the family's 1533-position model. The record is from RNAcentral.
UACGUAGGGGGCAAGCGUUGUCCGGAUUUAUUGGGCGUAAAGAGCUCGUAGGCGGUCUGUCGCGUCUGCUGUGAAAACUCGGGGCUUAACCCCGGGCCUGCAGUGGGUACGGGCAGACUAGAGUGCGGUAGGGGGAGAAUGGGAAUUCCUGGUGUAGCGGUGGAAUGCGCAGAUAUCAGGAGGAACACCGAUGGCGAAGGCAGUUCUCUGGGCCGUAACUGACGCUGAGGAGCGAAAGCGUGGGGAGCGAACAGG